CUGUCAGAGGCCCAGGCCCUGCUGCCGCCCUGCGCGUUGUGCUGCGCUGAGCCCGCUGGCUGUGCUGGCAGCCGUGCCCAGCCCCUUCCUGGGUGGCUACGCAUAGAGAAUGUCCAGCUCGUGACCACGUUUCCACCUCAGCCCUUUCCCCACUCUUCUCUCUGCAGUACUAUUCCGUGAAGCAAUUCUGUUGCAAAACUGUGCCUUGCUUAGAUGCUUAACCUCCAUGGGGCAAGAAGAUACAGGAUGUGGCACUGAAGAGAUCCGUUGGACCUGGAGAAUGGUCCUGAAUAGGCAUCUGCCUGUAACAAAUCAGAGUCGUGAGCCUGUUUGCCCUCGGUUACUUGGAAAAUUAAAGGCAAUGCACCAUUCUCUGACAAGAAAAUGUGACUUUCCCCUCCUCUCUUCUUCAUAAAACUGCAAAUGUUUAUAUGGUUAUGUUUUAAGUGCUUAUGUUUUUGACCUCUUGGGGUAAAAACGGUGAAUAACACCUUCAGCCAUAGUGGCAUAUCAGCUGAGGAUGACUCAUCCCUAGGCUCCCAGACUGUCAGAGAUGUAGCUGUGGUACAAAGCAAUUUCAAAAUAGCUGUACGUACAGCUCCCAGCUGCAGUGGAGAGAAGUGUCUGCCUGUGUAGGGGAGUAUAACUGAUCUGCAAGGUAAAUGAUCUCACAAAAGCAGCUUCUUGCUAUCACUAAUGGCUUGCCGGCAGGACUUCACCCUGCAGCCCCAGUCAUCACCUGUAUCCAGGCUGCUCGCUUGUGUGGGGGCUGACCCGCGCAGUGAGGCAACGCAGGCAGUGCCGGAGCCACCACUAACAGGAACACUGGACUACUUUUAAUAUUUCACAGCUGAAUACAGAUUUUCAGUUACAGUGUCGUCAUCUUUGUCCAGUAUGUAUAUACAUGUGUAUAGUCUUGCAAGUCUGGUCCUUGGGUAUGGCCAAAUACCAUGCGGAUGUAUCUGAACCAGCUUUAGAUAUCAUUACUGAAACACGGAGCUCAGGGUGAGGAACAUCUCAAAUGUCUCAAGCUUACUCCACAAAACUGGCUAAGCAAUCAUCUCUCAGUGGCAGCUCGCUACGCUCUUUUUUCUGCAAAACCACCAAGCUAUACUGAAGAAGCUGUGUCGCUGCUGAAAUGGAGCAAAUGAUAGAAAAUACGGAUGACGAUACACGUUGUGCAUUGAGCAUCAAUACAGAUGGAUACCGCAAGAAGAAAUCCAUGGCUAUUAUGAAGUCCUGUUUGGACAGGACACUUCCACUCUCAUCUUGGCCACAGUUGUGUUUUUUGUACUAUCAAUAAGUGUCUGCAUUGGAUCUAGAUACCUGGAUAUCUUUUAUAGUGAGUGGAGAAAAACGGGCACUUUCAUGAUGCAGUUCAUCUUGUUCUAAGAUACAUGCCUCCAGUCCUGUCACUGGGCACCACUGAAAAGUGUCUGGCUGCCUUUUCUUCACUCCCUCCCUUCAGGUAUUUAUACAGAUGGAUGGGAUCCCCCUGAGCCUCCUCUUCUCCAUGGUGAACAAUCCCAGCCCUCUCAGUCUCGAGGAGCCAAGAAGGAAAGGUGCUCUCCUGGACUUGAUACUUAUAAACAAGGAAGAACUGGUCAGGUAUAUGAAAGUUGGAGGCAGCCUUGGCUGCAGUGGUCAGUGACCACUGGAGUAACAGGAUCCAGGAGGAUCCGGGAGAAAGAGGAACCUAAGAGGAGGAAGCAAGCCAAAAAGCGGGACGACAAGCCUGCAUUUCAGGAGAUUAGACCUCGACCGUUUCAGAGAUCUUCUUGGAAGAAUCCCAUCGGAUAUGACCCUGGGAAGAAGAGGGGUCCAGGGAAGCUGGUUGAUAUUCAAAGAUCACCUCCUCCAAGCUCAAGGAAGGUCCAUCCCAACCAGUAAGAGAUCAAACAAAGGCAGCAGGAGUCCUGCAUGGAUGCGCAAGGAGCUUCUAAAUGAGUUCAGAUUAAACAAGGAAAUGCACAAGAUGAGGAAGCUGGCAGGUGACCCAUAGGGUGUGCAGAAUGUAUCUUUAAUAAGGGUCCUGUUUCCAUUGACUGUAUCCCAACUCCAUUUGAAGGACAGACUUAGGCGUGCACCGUAUCAAAGUUCCUAGCCUUUGAUACAUACCCUACCAAGUUUCAACAGAAAUGAAGCCCAGAAUUGCGGGCUGAAUGGGACCCACAGUGUUUUCCAGCAUUUUUUUCUGAUCUCUACAACUGGAGAUGAAGAUCUGGGUCUCCAGCAAAAGUGAAUCUACAGUAGCAGCAGUUUUUGAAGAUACAGUCAUAGCUGAGCAAACACACAGACGGAGGAAAGCUCCCCGCAUAUAAACUCAUCUAUUUUUUUAGAAAAAGAAGCCAAUGGACACACAAAAAAUGGAAUCCAACCAAGGCAUGAAUAUUUAUAGCACCAGAUGUUUGAAUGAACUAGAAGACCCUUAACUCCAUCUGAACCAGAUGCCCAUAAGAACAGAGCUAAGAGAGGAAAAAAGAUAGCUUUUCAGGCUUCUUUUUUCUGAAUCAGAGAAACAAGAGUACUGUUUAAGUAGAAGAGAGAGAUUUUUGUAAUGUGAGCCUAGAGAUAUGUGGCAGAGUUAGCCUCUACUAAUUCUGAAAAGGCUACUUAUCACCACGGUAGAGAUAACUGAUACAAAGUUCAGAUUUAGCGAAGGGAAAAACAGUAUGGAUCUUUGCUGUAACUUGUUACUCUGCUGUUUUUAAACAUUAUGCCUGACAUUUAUUACUGAAAAAUGUAGUGACUCAUAUGUCAGAGAGAGUAAUAGUGAGUCAGUAAGGAAACCAGCGCUGGUAUCCUCUAUCUUUUGGGAUAAAGAGGCUGAUACCACACUCUCUUAUACUACUUCUGUCCAAAUCUAGCUCGCAAAUUAAUAUAUCUGAUAGAUCAAGUUGCUAAUUUAUUUCACUACUAGUACUAUUGCCACUAAAGGAGAGUAAUUAUAUUUACUGCCUGCGUUUGUAAACCCCAUUAGAAUUGGUUUAUGUGAUCAUCAUCUCACGGCCAUGUUAUAAGAGCUCUUAAAUCUGAAGGCUUAGAUUAAAUACCUAUACCAGAAAAAAAAAAAAAGACUCUAUGAAAACCAAAUGACUAGGGCAAAAAUGUCAGUGAGUCAGAGUCUGUCGAUGGCCCCAAUACUAAGUGACUGGCUUACUUCCCAAAAGCAUGAAUAGGAAAAAAACCCACUAAGCGGUGACUAGGCUUCUUUCAAUCUUGUAUCUUCAGAACAGAAGUCUGGCAACAUUCAGGACACAAGCACAAUCCCAACAAUAUGUCUUAAAUAUGUGCACUAUGUACACCACAGCUGGAAUAUUAAUAAACAAGUGCUCAAACUUGGUUCUUCAGAAAAAUAAACCACUAUAUGUUGAUUUUGUAUUGAACGUCAUGCAGAGUUCAAGAUUAGGAAUACCUGCCUCCAAAUCUGUGAUUGAUUUAUGUCCACAACAACCAAGAAAAGAUGCAGAACCACAACUGCUCUCUUCUGUUUUCACAAAACAAAGCCAUCAAAAGUGGGUGUAACGAUUGCUUGUGACUUGCUAAUAAUCCCUUUGUGACUCAGUAUCUCUGGUAGAAUGUAAAAUCUGCCCCAAAUUUAUCUUCUUUUUGCUUCAAAGUUGCAGGUGCUAUCUAAUUUUCUUUCAUAGUAACAUACAGACAAUGGUACAAGCUGUCCAGUUUCCCUUUAUGAGAGCAAAACAGAAGAGGCAUCUUGUGUUCAGCACCUCAGCACCAGGUAUUUCGCCAAGAUGGUGGUGAUGGAUACAAAAAGACAUAAGUAAAAAGUUUGGGGGGUUUUAUGAAAGCACAUGAAGUUAUUUUUCUAAGACCAUAGAAGGGAGGAUCUUAAAUGUCUGUCUUGAUUUUUAGACAGCUAAACAUACAUAUACCUAGUUGACAGCAAUGAGAGUUUAAGGUUAUUUCUGAAUUGCAGGUAAAUGUAGUGGAAAUUCUGUUGCUGUGAACCUUGCUACAGAAAAUUCAUAAAGGCACAGGAAUGAAUUCUUCCUGAAGGACCAUUUCCUUCCUGUAAAUUUCUAUGGAACAAAAGCAAAUUUCCUGCAAAAGCUCUCAUUCACCUCAACAGAGAGCAGAACUGGGUACUUAAAAAGGAAAGAGGGUAAAAACAAGGUUACUUAGCAGCUAACUGUAAAGGCAAGUAUGUUUUCCCUGGCUGCUGCAGAAGAACUACUACAUUGUCUGGCAUUCCACUGAAGCAGUGUCCUUGUCUGCACAGAGGCUGGAUGAAAGCUCUUGCAUCACCUUAUAUCAGAGGGAGGCACAAAUGCUAAAGAAGUUGUGCCAAAAUACACAUUAGUAUUUGAUUUUUUUAAAAAUACCAUUGUGUCCAAAGCUAAAGAACAAAUACAAUUUUAUAUUUUCCUGUAUCUUGGUACAAUAACAUGUUGUCGCUUCAGCCAAGUAUGAAUAAUUCAUUCAGUGAAUCACUAUCAUUUCUUUUUAAACUAGCCUAGAAUAUGAUAAUAGUGCCUUUUGCAACAACAGUUAGUGCCACAAUAGUAGAACUUCCUAAGGUUAAAAUAAGAAAGGCUAAAAUAAACAUCUUUGAACUGUAAGGUCCAGAUACUUUGCAUGUCCCUAACUGUUUUGAUAUACCCAAAGACAUGAAGCAGCUAUAAAAACAGGAUUCGUAAAUCCCUCUGAAAUAAAUUGGACUUGUGCAAAGCAUUUGAUGCUGUCUUGCAUGAGAUCCUUGUCUCUAAAUUGGAGAGAUACAGAUUUGAUGGAUGGACCACUUGAUGGAUAAGGAAUUGGCUGGAUGGUCACACUCAAAGUGUUGCCAUCAACAGCUUGAUGUCCAAGUGGAGACCGGUGACGAGUUGCGUUCUUCAGGAGUCGGUAUUGGGACUGGCACUAUUUAACAUAAUGUCAGUGACAUGGACAGUGGGACUGAGUGUACCCUCAGCAGGUUUGCAGAUGACAGCA
Long non-coding RNA from Egretta garzetta (little egret), 4950 nucleotides. RefSeq lists it as uncharacterized. The record is from RefSeq and is a predicted model, not a curated record. The transcript is spliced from 5 exons. Lineage: Eukaryota; Metazoa; Chordata; Aves; Pelecaniformes; Ardeidae.